CCUGGAGAGGGACGUGGGGAAUGAGCCGGCCAAGGGACCCCAGGCUAGGCCCUGGAGCAGGAGGUUCAUGUGUCUGGGCAGAGGUCUGACAGCCAUGCAAACUGGGCUCUGGGGACCAGGAAUGCCUGUGACCUUCCUGCUUGUGGCCCCAGGGGGCUCAAGGGUGGUAGAAUGAGGGUGGGCUUGAGGAGAUGGGAGGGCAGGGGCAGAAGUGGUACCCUGGAGAGGGGAACCUCCAUCACACAGGCUGGGGGCAACCCAGAGGGACAUCCCAACAAAGGCUCUAGGGGAGAAGCUCUGGGCUGAGGCCUUCUCUCCCACCUCAACCCGUUUCCUCACCACCUGGCUGCCUCACACCCCCCUGCACUAGCAGCUGAAUUUGGUGACCACACCCCGCCUUCCCACCACCAUGUCUCCAGAGCCACCGUGAGGCCUGGCACACAGCUCCUGGCGCUUGGCCUCCGCGGUGGCCAGCGCCCCUCGCAGUCCCCGCAGCUCUGCCCGCAGGGCUGCCAGCUCCUCCUCUGCCUGCGCUGAGCGCAGCAAUGGCUUCAUCUUGAAAAAGAGCUUCAUCCAUGACCAGUUCUUGACAGCGUUGAAGGCACGGAUAUUCCACUGGAUGAGCCACCUGGCCAGCCCCGGGGAUAAGCUGACCCAGAUGACAGAGAAGGCGCUGGUACUCGAGGCGCAUGAGGCGGCCCCGGCUCCGUGCCUGCAGCAAUGUCAAAACCUUGGCCAGACGU
Long non-coding RNA from Nyctereutes procyonoides (raccoon dog), 743 nucleotides. RefSeq lists it as uncharacterized. NCBI's taxonomy places the organism in Eukaryota, Metazoa, Chordata, Mammalia, Carnivora, Canidae. The record is from RefSeq and is a predicted model, not a curated record. The transcript is spliced from 4 exons.